CCUGGCGUCAGGACGAACGCUGGCGGCGUGCCUAAUACAUGCAAGUCGAGCGGACUAAUGGGAGCUUGCUCCCAGAGGUUAGCGGCGGACGGGUGAGUAACACGUGGGCAACCUGCCCUGUAGACUGGGAUAACACCGAGAAAUCGGUGCUAAUACCGGAUAACUUCCGAGUUCACCUGAACUCGGAUUAAAAGAUGGCUCCGGCUAUCACUACAGGAUGGGCCCGCGGCGCAUUAGCUAGUUGGUGAGGAAAUGGCUCACCAAGGCGACGAUGCGUAGCCGACCUGAGAGGGUGAUCGGCCACACUGGGACUGAGACACGGCCCAGACUCCUACGGGAGGCAGCAGUAGGGAAUCUUCCGCAAUGGACGAAAGUCUGACGGAGCAACGCCGCGUGAGUGAUGAAGGAUUUCGGUUCGUAAAGCUCUGUUGUUAGGGAAGAACAAGUGCCGUUCGAAUAGGGCGGCACCUUGACGGUACCUAACCAGAAAGCCACGGCUAACUACGUG
RNAcentral lists this ribosomal RNA (508 nucleotides) under uncultured Bacillus sp. RNAcentral's name for it is "bacterial SSU rRNA". It matches the Rfam family "Bacterial small subunit ribosomal RNA", at positions 18 to 507 of the family's 1533-position model. Lineage: Bacteria; Bacillati; Bacillota; Bacilli; Caryophanales; Bacillaceae. The record is from RNAcentral.